RNAcentral lists this ribosomal RNA (216 nucleotides) under uncultured bacterium. RNAcentral describes it as "partial 16S ribosomal RNA". It matches the Rfam family "Bacterial small subunit ribosomal RNA", at positions 1284 to 1500 of the family's 1533-position model. The record is from RNAcentral.
UUACUCAGUUCAGAUUGCAGGCUGCAACCCGCCUGCAUGAAGUCGGAAUUGCUAGUAAUCGCGGAUCAGCAUGCCGCGGUGAAUACGUUCCCGGGCCUUGUACACACCGCCCGUCACACCAUGGGAGCCGGUAAUACCCGAAGUCAGUAGUCCAACCUCGUGAGGACGCUGCCGAAGGUAGGAUUAGCGACUGGGGUGAAGUCGUAACAAGGUACC